RNAcentral lists this ribosomal RNA (253 nucleotides) under uncultured bacterium. RNAcentral describes it as "partial 16S ribosomal RNA". It matches the Rfam family "Bacterial small subunit ribosomal RNA", at positions 524 to 776 of the family's 1533-position model. The record is from RNAcentral.
UACGUAGGGUGCGAGCGUUAAUCGGAAUUACUGGGCGUAAAGCGUGCGCAGGCGGUUUUGUAAGCCAGAUGUGAAAGCCCCGGGCUUAACCUGGGAAUGGCAUUUGGGACUGCAAGGCUUGAGUGCGGCAGAGGAGACUGGAAUUCCUGGUGUAGCGGUGAAAUGCGCAGAUAUCAGGAAGAACACCCGUGGCGAAAGCGGCUCUCUGGAACGGUACUGACGCUGAGACGCGAAAGCGUGGGGAGCGAACAGG